UACUUAACACUCUCCAUCUGCUGUAGAUGUAUAAAAUAGACAUUAACAUAAGGAUUUAAAUUUUCUCAAUGU
Molecule: non-coding RNA, 72 nt
Organism: Pangasianodon gigas (Mekong giant catfish)
Lineage: Eukaryota; Metazoa; Chordata; Actinopteri; Siluriformes; Pangasiidae
Source: the annotation of a GenBank genome assembly